GACGAACGCUGGCGGCGUGCUUAACACAUGCAAGUCGAACGGAAAGGCCCUGCUUUUGUGGGGUGCUCGAGUGGCGAACGGGUGAGUAACACGUGAGUAACCUGCCCUUGACUUUGGGAUAACUUCAGGAAACUGGGGCUUAUACCGGAUAGGAGCUCCUGCUGCAUGGUGGGGGUUGGAAAGUUUCGGCGGUUGGGGAUGGACUCGCGGCUUAUCAGCUUGUUGGUGGGGUAGUGGCUUACCAAGGCUUUGACGGGUAGCCGGCCUGAGAGGGUGACCGGCCACAUUGGGACUGAGAUACGGCCCAGACUCCUACUGGAGGCAGCAGUGCAGAAUAUUACACAAUGGGCGGAAGCCUGAUGCAGCAACGCCGCGUGCGGGAUGACGGCCUUCGGGUUGUAAACCGCUUUCGCCUGUGACGAAGCGUGAGUGACGGUAAUGGGUAAAGAAGCACCGGCUAACUACGUG
Molecule: ribosomal RNA, 468 nt
Filed under: uncultured bacterium
Lineage: Bacteria
Description: partial 16S ribosomal RNA
Rfam family: Bacterial small subunit ribosomal RNA
Source: RNAcentral